This 803-nucleotide long non-coding RNA is filed under the name Scleropages formosus (Asian bonytongue). Its description in RNAcentral is "lncRNA (ENSSFOG00015030451.1)". The record is from RNAcentral. Lineage: Eukaryota; Metazoa; Chordata; Actinopteri; Osteoglossiformes; Osteoglossidae.
GACAGAACGAGGGUAACAGAUACUGUGCAGCAGAGCCUUCCCUGACACAGUUACAGCAGCCUGAAGGCGACGGUCAGGACAACUUUGUAAGAAGACCUGCAAGUUUAGCACCUCUGGGAGACAUGAAAGUGCUAGACAGGCUUCUCACAAACAGGAAGACCCGCAGUUUGGUGGCGCACGAAACACUCCGGACCCCUGCAGCAGUGCACUUUGUCUUGCUUGUUUACAGCAUAACAGCCACAGUUUCAGUUUUGGGGCCAAAUCUAACAUACAGAGAGUCUCUAUUACGAGACAUUAUAAAACUGUGUCCUGCCAGUACCAAAACGUCCAGUGAUUCACCUUCACAGAGUGGAAUAAUGGAAUAUAUGCUUGCAAACCCAACCAUCUUUGGCAUCACGGUUGUCUCUGCAGCCACUGCUUCUAUCUUCACUGUUGCAUUUUUCAUAAUGAAACUCCGAAAGAGGCAGAGGAGUACAGGAAACAGCAACACCAUCUACCAAGAUAAUCACAUCUAUGAGGAUAUUACAGACAUACAGUUUCGACUCACGACGCCGGAGGCACCAUCGUUGCUGUGCGUCUACAAAGACUAUAUACCCAAUCAACAGCAAAGUGAAACCAUCUACUCCUGCGCUGGCCCACCCUCGACUGAGAUGGCAGAUCCAAGGAAGGCGUCUACACAGACUGAUCUUCAGAAGUAUGACAAACCCAGAGUCCAGGACCGCAGUGACCGAUGAGUCCAGUGAGAUCACGUGCUCAUCGGACUUGCAGCGAAUAAAAGUUGCUUGAACACAUGAGCCCGAACA